AUACGUAGGGGGCGAGCGUUGUCCGGAAUGAUUGGGCGUAAAGGGCGCGUAGGCGGCGCGGUAAGUCUGGAGUGAAAGUCCUGCUUUCAAGGUGGGAAUUGCUUUGGAUACUGCCGCGCUUGAGUGCAGGAGAGGGUAUCGGAAUUCCCGGUGUAGCGGCGAAAUGCGUAGAGAUCGGGAGGACCACCAGUGGCGAAGGCGGGUAACUGGACUGCAACUGACGCUGAGGCGCGAAAGUGUGGGGAGCAAACAGGAUUAGAUACCCUGGUAGUCCACACUGUAAACGAUGAAUGCUAGGUGUAAGAGGUAUCGACCCCUUUUGUGCCGGAGUCAACACAAUAAGCAUUCCGCCUGGGGAGUACGGCCGCAAGAAUGAAACUCAAAUGAAUUGGCGGGG
Molecule: ribosomal RNA, 397 nt
Filed under: uncultured bacterium
Lineage: Bacteria
Description: partial 16S ribosomal RNA
Rfam family: Bacterial small subunit ribosomal RNA
Source: RNAcentral